Long non-coding RNA from Papaver somniferum (opium poppy), 2209 nucleotides. RefSeq lists it as uncharacterized. The transcript is spliced from 3 exons. NCBI's taxonomy places the organism in Eukaryota, Viridiplantae, Streptophyta, Magnoliopsida, Ranunculales, Papaveraceae. The record is from RefSeq and is a predicted model, not a curated record.
UUCUUCUUUCUUCUUCUGUUCGAAACCGAGAGAUGAUUUUGAGGUAGGAUUUGAGAGAAUCAUUUGUUGAAGCUAGUGAGCAGAUGAUGAAGAUGGCGUGAUUGUAAUCUAUGAAGAAGAUCAAUUGAAAAUUGAUUGAGUUUCGAGAUAACCUGAGAAGAACGAGGUUAGGGUUUGCUGUUCGUUGGAGAUUAAGUGAGGUUGAUGAUAGAAUCGAUCGAUUGAUGAUGGGUUUUGUUUUUUUAAGACAAAGGAGAAGAAUUAUCUGUUAAUUCUAUAAUUUCAGUGAAGAAAUUAGGGUUUCUGCAUGUUGUAUUUGAGUUCGAAUUGGGCAAAGAUUAAGAAGAGUUAGAUGGAUCUAUAAGAUGGGUUUGCUUAAUUGAAAGGUUUGAUUGAUGUCUUGAGAUUGAAUUUGAUAUUGAAGAUAGUUAAGGUUCAUGUGUUCUUCCCCAAAUUGGAAUUAGGUUUGAGUAGAAUUGAUGAUGAAUUAGAGUAAUAAAUAGAUGAAGCACAAGGAGGUAGUCGGUUGAAUUGAUGUUGUGUAGUUGUUUUAGAGGAUAAUCAAAGAGUUAGGGUUUUCCUGCGAGUUGAUGAUGAUUUGGUUGGAAUUGAUUAUUUGGCUGAGAACUGUUGGUGAUGAUUGGAUUGAUUUGGUAUUGAGGGAACUGAGUUGGUGAAUUUUUGUAGCCUCAAGAAGAAUAGCAGAAUCCAGUUAAGCAAGAAGAGAAGUUGAAAGAUGGAUUAGUCUUAAGGUGUUGGACAUGUAUUUGAGGUAAUUGUUCUUCUCUUCGAUUUUAGUUAAAGUUAUGUAGUUUUUGUUGUUGAAUUUGUGUAUAUGUUAUUGACAUAAGUUCAAGUAUCCUAGUUGGAUGAAGUAAGAGAAUCUCAGAUGAAUGAUUGUUGUUUGAGUUGGGUUAUGUGUUACAAUAGUGCAAAUGGUGUUGUUUCUGGGAUUGGGAUAAAUAGAAUUGUAUUGGAUUUGGUGAUUGGUGGUGAUGGCAGUUGAAGAAUGUUAACUGAAUUGGGGUGGACAAGUUUACUUGUGAUGACAAUAUUGGGGUUGUUAGAGUUGCAAUAAGAUGAAACGUUUAGCAUAUGAGAAUUUAUCUCAAGUGGUGGUUUAUGUGUGACAGUGCUUUAGGAAUGGAGCUGUUGUUGAUUAGUGUUGAUGAUUGGCGAUAUUGACUGUGCUAAGAUGGAGUUGCAAGUGAUGUUGGUUUGGUAAUUACUGGGUCAUGUAGUGGUUAAGGGAGUUGAAUUGCAGAUUUAUGGGGUUAAUGUGAACUGCAGGGUAUGAGAUUGGCGUCAAUGCUGUGAUGUUGUUGUAAGGUGAAUGAGAUGAAGUGAUAAUUCUUAGAAACUAGAAUGCUGUGAGUCCUGAGUUUGAGUUGCAGUUGGAGCAACAUAGGAAUUAGUUAUAACUCUCAGAUUUGUAUGCUGUUGAGAUGUUGAGCAGAAGUUCAUUGUGAUGUUGUUGACAGUGACCCUAGUGAAAGACUGCAAUGCAGAUCAAGAUACGUUGGAACUGCUGUUACUUCCAUUCAUGAAAUGGAAAAUGGGUUCAACAUCAGGUCUUUCAAUGUAAAGUUACUGCACACUGUACAUGUACGCAAGGGAUCACACGCCUAAGAAAUACAGCAAGAAGAGAUUGAGGACCAAGAUGUCAGUGCUCAAUUGAGCGAGAAUGAUAGGAAGGAAGCUGUAAAAAUGGUACGUAACAAAUGCAUGAAUUGGAUAAGGCAGUGGCCAGUGAUGAUGAAGAAUAAUAAUAUGAAGCCAAAGAAGUUGAGGUCGAGGAAAUUUUGGAUGUUCCGAGUUUGAUCAAGAGUGAAGUUGAAAUUCUUCUGAAAGUUUCUCUGAUAGAGACUCCCCAACCCCAGUUAGUCUCUAUUAACAACGAUCAAUUCAAAGGAUGAACCAGUGGAUCGUGGAUAUCGAGGUAGGCGUGGCUUGUCAUCAAAAGAGGUGGGAAUACAUUUGACUCUUUUGUAACCAUUAUUGUUGCUUUUUACAAAAGUUUACGUUUAACAAUCAUGCAUUGUUUGUUUAUGCAUUUCAUGCUUUAUUUAAAUUACAUUGUGAUAAUUCUGUUGAUUUGUUAAUCUUUCCAUCGUUUGGAAAUGACUUGUAUUGAUUGUUUGUCAUAUGAAUUGUUAAGGAAAAUGAGAAUUUCCACGUGUGGUAUAUAGGAUACACUCCUUCAUAAUUA